CAGACAAGGAUGAGACGCACAGAGGCACAGUGCAGCUGACAGAUUCCGAAAGUGGUGUCCUUCCGCCCCCAUCACGGGCUUCCUCCUCAUUCACCAGGAGAGUUCUGCAAUCGCCAUGACCCCUUUGAGUUAUGGACUACUUAUUCCGUGGAGCACCUUCAGUCUGUGAGGCUAGUGUUUUCCUACUUCCAUUCAAAGACCCAUCCUCUACAUCUGAAGGUGGCAGAGACACGCUCUGAGUUCCCUCCAGUGUCCCAUCAGAGGAUGCUCCAUUUGCCUGUCCUCUUGGGAACAACGUAAAAGACACUUCCCAGGUUCUCCACUGUAAAGACUUUCCUUUUCUCCGUACUAGUAACAAGUGCUUCGUGAAGAUGAACUGGAAAUACUGUGGCUCCUGUCACAGUUUCAAGCUCCUAGUUACAUGUGUGCGGCUCACGGCAUGGACUCCAGGAGUGAGAAUCUACUCAUGUUGUCUGUUUUUCUGCUCAUGUCAUCCCAGACUUAGUCAAUGUAGUCCUCUUUAUUAUAUGGCUUCCCAGCUUUUGACAUGUAUCAUCAUUUUUUUUCAUGUUGUUUUCUGGUCACUUCCUUGUUUCUGACACAAUAAAAUGCCAUUUUGCAUGUUUC
Peromyscus eremicus (cactus mouse) is the source of this 627-nucleotide long non-coding RNA. RefSeq lists it as uncharacterized. The record is from RefSeq and is a predicted model, not a curated record. The transcript is spliced from 2 exons. Lineage: Eukaryota; Metazoa; Chordata; Mammalia; Rodentia; Cricetidae.